UCCGGAGUAAGAAUGGAGGCGUGGACCUGAGCAGGGGCGUGGCCAAGAGUAAGAGGAAGGUUACGGCCAGGUGCAAGACUUGAGACCCCGACGGGGGCGGGGCGAAGCGCUGGAGCCUGUGCUAUCACUCAGAGCUGUCUGGACAGCCCUGGAGAGCUGCCUCACCUGCCACUAUUGAACCGGGCGUUAUCCAGGCUACAUUGCGCUCUGCCAAGCCGUGUCCCCUGCCAGCCCUGUGAGAUCGAAAGGAGAGAGACAGACAGACGGACAGGUACAAGUCCUGCGGGCGCUGUGGAAGAUGCUACUUUCUGUGAGCCGGAACUUUGCCCAUGGACCUGCACAAGUGUAACAGAAUGAAGAUACUGGUUUCCACUUUCCCCUUCUUUGUGAUGAUAUGAAGAUUGAAGAAGUUGGUAUAUGUAAGGGUCUUGGUGCUAGGGUCACGCUACAUGCUGACCUUGACUGUUGGUGGACCUACAGCUGUGAGGAAUGGGCAAUCUGUCCAUCUGCUACAACAGCCCCAGGACAAGACCCGACUCAACAUAGUCUCUUCUGAAUGAAAAAGUGAUCACUUGCGUAUAGUACCUUAUGAAGGCUAUGUCUGGAGAACUCCUCAAUGCAGAGAUGGCAUCUUCUCCCCUGAGUUUUUCUGCAAGAUGAUGAGCAGAAGAUGAGCCAGUUACAAAGGCAUGUUGACUGUGACUCCUGUGGUACUUGACUUCUCCCCCAAUCCUGAGCCCAUUCAGUGACUACCUGCUCAUCUUCCAUGGUGAGCUGCACCUUCAUGAGUUCCCACUCCAUGGCGAUUGGGCCCUGUUCUUCAUCCCUGUGUGUGAAAGUCCAGGAGCUACACCACAGGGUGUGCAGGACUGUCUACCCAUCCCUACUGUCUGUUGCCUGCAGGUGACAGCCAGCUGUUUUGUGGUCCUAGUGAUCCUUUCCAUCUUCUCCUGCUGGAGAGUACAUAAUGCCACUCUCCGUGAAGUCUUCCGCGGUCUUCUCAGACAAGUUCCAGAUAGAGCUCCAAGCAACUCUUCAGGACAAGGAUGAACCUAAACAUCCUUGGGCAAACAAUCACUGGCCCCUAUCUCUAGCCUGCUCUAACUCCCAUGUACCCUCAGGCCUCUCCUGUUAGACCUUUUAUGGAAACACUGCUUGCCUUCCACACAGGCCUCUCUGUUUUGCUUGAAUGUUUACUACCUAUUCAGAUCCAAAUAAACCCUCAUUUCAGUACCAGCAAGGAGCCCUCCCUCAGGUUCACUUGGAUUGUGCUAUCCCAGCUGCACAGGUCAAUAAAAUAUGAAAGCCUUUCUUUA
Dipodomys ordii (Ord's kangaroo rat) is the source of this 1316-nucleotide long non-coding RNA. RefSeq lists it as uncharacterized. The record is from RefSeq and is a predicted model, not a curated record. The transcript has 5 exons. Lineage: Eukaryota; Metazoa; Chordata; Mammalia; Rodentia; Heteromyidae.